This 131-nucleotide small RNA is filed under the name Klebsiella pneumoniae. RNAcentral describes it as "RtT sRNA". It matches the Rfam family "RtT RNA". Rfam says of the family: This family represents a bacterial cis-regulatory element known as RtT RNA. The exact function of RtT is unknown although it is thought that it may be involved in changing the cellular response in relation to amino acid starvation. Lineage: Bacteria; Pseudomonadati; Pseudomonadota; Gammaproteobacteria; Enterobacterales; Enterobacteriaceae. RNAcentral also lists the same sequence under 1 other name. The record is from RNAcentral.
UAUUCUGCCCUACAGGGAAAGAUGAGAAGCUUCGACUAAGGUUCGACUCGAGCGAAGCGAGAGAACGUUGCCGCAGGCAAUGGCCCGAAGGCGAGGCGCUUUAGCGCCGAGUAAUCCUUCCCCCACCACUG